AAUUGGAGGGCAAGUCUGGUGCCAGCAGCCGCGGUAAUUCCAGCUCCAAUAGCGUAUAUUAAAGUUGUUGCAGUUAAAAAGCUCGUAGUUGAAUUUCGGGGUCAGUAGAUUGGUCGUGCCACUGGUAUGUACUGGUCUUACUGGCUCCUCCUUCCUGAUGAACCGUAAUGCCAUUAAUUUGGUGUUGCGGGGAGACUGGACUGUUACUUUGAAAAAAUUAGAGUGUUUAAAGCAGGCAUUCGCUUGAAUACAUUAGCAUGGAAUAAUGAAAUAGGACGUUUGAUCUUAUUUUGUUGGUUUCUAAGAUCGACGUAAUGAUUAAUAGGGAUAGUUGGGGGCAUUAGUAUUCAAUUGUCAGAGGUGAAAUUCUUGGAUUUAUUGAAGACUAACUACUGCGAAAGCAUUUGCCAAGGAUGUUUUCAUUAAUCAAGAACGAAAGUUAGGGGAUCGAAGACGAUCAGAUACCGUCGUAGUCUUAACCAUAAACUAUGCCGACUAGGGAUCGGAUGAUGUUAAUUUUUUAAUGACUCAUUCGGCGCCUUACGGGAAACCAAAGUGU
This 559-nucleotide ribosomal RNA is filed under the name uncultured Glomus. RNAcentral's name for it is "SSU rRNA". It matches the Rfam family "Eukaryotic small subunit ribosomal RNA", at positions 546 to 1106 of the family's 1831-position model. Lineage: Eukaryota; Fungi; Glomeromycota; Glomeromycetes; Glomerales; Glomeraceae. The record is from RNAcentral.